Molecule: small RNA, 60 nt
Organism: Enterococcus dispar ATCC 51266
Lineage: Bacteria; Bacillati; Bacillota; Bacilli; Lactobacillales; Enterococcaceae
Rfam family: Bacillus-plasmid RNA
Source: Rfam
GCAGUCAACGGUACCGGAGGCGGUUUGUGCCGAGGAUAAGGAGUUGACGGCUAAACCACU